RNAcentral lists this ribosomal RNA (520 nucleotides) under uncultured bacterium. Its description in RNAcentral is "bacterial SSU rRNA". It matches the Rfam family "Bacterial small subunit ribosomal RNA", at positions 10 to 518 of the family's 1533-position model. The record is from RNAcentral.
AGUUUGAUUCUGGCUCAGGAUGAACGCUAGCUACAGGCUUAACACAUGCAAGUCGAGGGGCAGCGAGAAGAAAGCUUGCUUUCUUUGUCGGCGACCGGCGCACGGGUGAGUAACGCGUAUCCAACCUUCCCCAUAGUAGAGGAUAGCCCGGCGAAAGUCGGAUUAAUACUCUAUGUUGUAUUUUGAGGACAUCUGACGAAUACCAAAGAUUGAUCGCUAUGGGAUGGGGAUGCGUCUGAUUAGCUUGUUGGCGGGGUAACGGCCCACCAAGGCGACGAUCAGUAGGGGUUCUGAGAGGAAGGUCCCCCACAUUGGUACUGAGACACGGACCAAACUCCUACGGGAGGCAGCAGUGAGGAAUAUUGGUCAAUGGACGAGAGUCUGAACCAGCCAAGUAGCGUGCAAGGAUGACUGCCCUAUGGGUUGUAAACUGCUUUUAUGCGGGAAUAAAGUCAGGUACGCGUACCUGUUUGUAUGUACCGCAUGAAUAAGGACCGGCUAAUUCCGUGCCAGCAGCGGC